UUUGUCAACGGUAAUCGCAGGGAGGGCUGUUUUCCCGACCGAGAAUUAAGGAGUUGACAAACUCGCCACA
This 70-nucleotide small RNA is filed under the name Pontibacillus litoralis JSM 072002. Its description in RNAcentral is "Bacillus-plasmid RNA". It matches the Rfam family "Bacillus-plasmid RNA". The record is from Rfam by way of RNAcentral. Lineage: Bacteria; Bacillati; Bacillota; Bacilli; Caryophanales; Bacillaceae.